This is a long non-coding RNA of Herpailurus yagouaroundi (jaguarundi), 539 nucleotides long. RefSeq lists it as uncharacterized. The transcript has 2 exons. The record is from RefSeq and is a predicted model, not a curated record. NCBI's taxonomy places the organism in Eukaryota, Metazoa, Chordata, Mammalia, Carnivora, Felidae.
GAUGGAAUUUUUCGGUUGGCUGUAUUCUCAGAACAGUACCUGACACAUAGAUAGCUCUCAACAAUACUUCCUGAAUGAAUUCAGUUCCUUUUUAAGCCAAACCUGUCAGACAGUUCCAGGGAUGGCCAGGGUGUGUGAACCACAAAAGCCAACACUUGAAUUCCUAUUUGAGCAGGAACGCUUUAAAAGGAUGUUAUAAAAUCUAGGUUCUUCAUUCUGGAAGAAGACACCAGUAGAACUUUUCUGUGGUGACAGGUCUUCAAGAAAUAACUCAGACAUUGGAGCAUCUUCUUCAUCACGGGUGUGUGUGUGGACAGAUAAAUAGAGUCAUCAUGUUCUGAACUGGUGACAUCUAAUGGCAACUUGAAUGAGGGAAAAAGGACUGCAAAUAUCUGGGUGAAGAGCAACCAAAGCUGAAGAAACAACAAGUGCAAAGGCACUGGGACCAUGGUCAACCUUCAAGGCCCAGUUCAAACACCAACGUCUUCAAAUAUCUUUCCUGACCCCCUCAGAUGGAGGACCUCAUCUCCCUCAAAAAA